RNAcentral lists this long non-coding RNA (302 nucleotides) under Gossypium raimondii (Peruvian cotton). RNAcentral describes it as "long non-coding RNA (GRAI_LNC004268)". Lineage: Eukaryota; Viridiplantae; Streptophyta; Magnoliopsida; Malvales; Malvaceae. The record is from RNAcentral.
GCACCAAACAAGGAAACCUUGUUGGCGGCACCAAACAAGGAUUCCUUGUUGGCGGCACCACCUUAAAUAUUAAGGGUGGUCGGUUGGUGGGGGGAAGAAGGAGAGGGGAAGAAGAAGAAAGAAAGGAAGAAGGAAAAGGAAAGGAGAGGAAAGAAAGAAAGAAAAAGAAUGAAAGAAAAGGAAAGGGGAGGAAAGAAAGAAAAAUAAGGAAAGAAAAGGAAAGGAGAAGAGGAAAAAAAAGAAAGAAGAAGAAGAGGGAAAGAAGGAAGGAAGAAAAAAGAAAAUAAGGUAAUUAUUAUUAU